Molecule: transfer RNA, 76 nt
Filed under: Bryobacterales bacterium
Lineage: Bacteria; Pseudomonadati; Acidobacteriota; Terriglobia; Bryobacterales
Description: Solibacterales bacterium tRNA-Thr
Rfam family: tRNA
About the family: Transfer RNA (tRNA) molecules are approximately 80 nucleotides in length. Their secondary structure includes four short double-helical elements and three loops (D, anti-codon, and T loops).
Source: RNAcentral
GCCGAUGUAGCUCAGUUGGUAGAGCGCGUCCUUGGUAAGGACGAGGUCACCUGUUCAAACCCGGUCAUCGGCUCCA